Molecule: long non-coding RNA, 14956 nt
Filed under: Populus trichocarpa (black cottonwood)
Lineage: Eukaryota; Viridiplantae; Streptophyta; Magnoliopsida; Malpighiales; Salicaceae
Description: long non-coding RNA (PTRI_LNC004249)
Source: RNAcentral
CUUGAAAAUUAGCACUGACAACUUCUACACCUUCUUCAUGAAGAAUGCUAAUAAUCUCAUAAAAUAAGAACUGAUUACCUAGCCCACUUGUCAAAACUAUCUCUAGAGCCGAACCAAUUUCAUGGAUUUUUAGCUGAGGUGAUUUUGAUGCAGCACUUGAUAUAGGAUCAAAAGUGCAUGUAUAUGAUCUUUUUCUGCUUCUUGCUAAGCUUUCUUUCUUUUCCCUGGCUCUCUCCAACUUUUCCUCCAGACUCUUUAUAUAGUUUAUUGCUCGAUCUAUCUGAUCAGGCAGAGGUUGUGCUUCCUGCAUAUAUACCCACAGCAAAAGGAAAAAUAUUUUCAAUAAUUUUGCCAAUUCAAGAAACAAAAGAGAACAAGAAAUAUCAUCCAAACGCAACUUGUAAAUCCCAAAUCUUUCUAAUCCAAACGCAAUAAUCUGUCUGCAAUAACAUGAGAGCAAGGACAGCUUGGCCUCUUCAUGGGAGGUUAAAGGCAGCAUGCUAGAAUGAAAUAAUACAAGAAGACAUGAAUUUAGAGAGAGUGAAAGAUGGAGAACCUUGAAGUUUUGAUUAGGGAGGAGAGAAUUGAGACUGGAGUAAAGGCUUUUCAUUUGAUUUCUCCUAUUUCUCUCAACGACUUUCCUCUCUGUUUUUGUAGAAGAAAUAUUAGACCUACUACUCCUACUCUUCAUUACUGUCCCUCCAGUUUUUGCAACCAUGACUCCCCUCGGAAACCUCAGAACAGAAGGGUGAAGAUGGCAGAUCCAUUUACUUGACAUAUCUUUAUAGACACCAUCUAAACAAUAUUCUAUGAAAAUUCAUUUUUAAAAAAAUUAAUUUUUUUUAAAUUGUUUUAUAUAUAUAUAUAUAUAUAUAUAUAUAUAUAUAUUAUUUUGACAUACUAGUAUUAAAAAUAAUUUUUUUAAAAUAAAAAAAUAUUAUAUAAAUUUAUUUUUUUAAUAAAAAUACUUUAAAAAAUAAUGAAUAUUUCAUCCCAGCUUCCAUGAAAAGAAACGAAAAGUUCAAGAUAAAAAAAAGAAAAAGAAAAAGUAAGAAAGCAAGUGGACCGAGGGCAUGAACGCAAUCGUCACGCAUUGGACAUCACUUUGUGUUGUCAUCCUCUUGUCAUCCUCUCUCUAUUAUAAGCUGCCAAUUCGGAAUCUUAGAGUAGAUUUUUACCUGUCUCCUUUUCAUUUUAAUGGAAGGAGUUUUGAUUGAUUUGAUGAUGUGAGAGAAAAAUCAUUUAGAAUCUAGAGCUGACUCAUACCUUGGGUAUCUUUAUUUUUUCAAUCAUAAAAAUAAAUAUUGAGAAAAUGUAAGAGUUUCUUUUUUAAAAAAAAUUGAAAAUUAAAUUAUUUACUUGACUCGAUUUAAUAAAUUUAGUUAAUUUAAAUAAAAUAAAUAAAUUGAUUAAAAAAAUAAAACCAAUUAACCCUUAUCAUCUGUAAACAAAUUCAAGGUCACUUAAUAAAUUAUAUAUUUACAGUCAAGUUAAUUUUUUCUUAUUAAAUUUUUGCUAUUAUGGUUUAUUCAAUUUCUCUUUUUAAAUUUUGCCAUGAUGGUCCUUUAAUUUCUCACAUAAUAAAUUUCAUCACUAUAAACAAAUUUAAUGUCACAUAAUAAAUUAUGUUGUUAUAGUCAAAUUCAAAUUUCACCCCAAAGAUAUAACAAUAACAUGCGUGGGCGCGUGUACAUAAAUAGCUCAAAUAAAUAGUUAUCAGUUCACUAAUUUUUACCUCUCAGCUAAAAUACCCAAUUCCAUCCUCUUUGGGUUUCGUUUCCAUUUGUUCAUAAAUUUUUAUUAUUAAUUUGUCAAAAUUUAUUAUGCGAGAAAUUAAGGGACCAUCAUGGAAAAGUUUUUUUUAAAAAAAUAAAUAGACUGUAAUAGAAGAAAUUUAAUAAGGAAAUAAUUGAAUUAAUCGUAACAACAAAAAAUUUUAUGUGACCAAGAAUUUGUUUGCAACGACAACAUUUAUUUUGUGAGAAAUUAAGGGGCUACCAUGGAAAAGUUUAAAAAUGAAAAUUGAACAGACCACGACACCAGAAAUUUAAUAAGAAAAAAUUGAACUGACUGUAACAAUAAAAUUUAUUACCUGACCUAAUUUAAUUUAAUAAGGAAAAAUUGAGUUGUCCACAAUGACGAAACUAAAAAGAAAAAUAAAAAAUAAAAUUCGUUGCAAUGGCGGAUUUAAUAUACUAAAUGUUAAUCUAGCCACAACAACUAGAGAUAUUAUAUUUUGAAGUAUGAGUUAUGUAUAAUUCAAAAGAAUUGGAAAUUAUGGAUAAUUUAAUUAAGCAAUAUUGGGAAGAAUUAAUGCUUGGGAUUGAUAAUUUCUAUUUGUAAGCUGUAAAUGAGGCCAUGAGAGUCAAAAUAAAUCAAUAAAAGUUUAGUGGGUAAAAAAUGACGCAAAAACAGAUGAAAAACACUAAUGAUUAAUAAAAUAACUUGUUUUGUUUUAGGAACUAUGAAGGGAGUGGUGCAAUAACAGAUGAAAAACACUAAUGAUAAAAUGGAAGUGAUAAAAGAAAGAGUCAAUGAAACUCAACACACACAUUGAAAUUACAGGGACAAAAUAUUUGUAAGGAGGAGAGAAUGUAAACCUCCAAGUAAACAUAGGAUAUAAGGUAAUAAAAUCUUGACGAGUAAUGAAAAUUUGAGUUGAAAAGAAAUAAACAAAUGAUGGAAAUAAUAAUAAAUAGAAUGUAUAAUAGAGGGGACGACCUCCAUAAAUAAUUUUAAAAAGGUAUUAUUGAAGUUAGAAUGAGGAUUAGGAAUUUUAGUUAAAAACUCAUAAUAUUGGUGAAACCAUUAAUGAAUUUUGAUGGAUAAAAGAAUAAGAAAAACUUAAAAUAAAUAUGUUUUAAAAAUGACAAAAUAACUUCAGAUAAUGGAAAUGAGGAAUUCAAGUUAGGAAAAAAUUAUAUGAAAAAGUGUCGGUGUAAAUCCCGGGUAAAAAAUCGAUAACAUUACUAGUGUGAAAUGAUAAUAAAUCUGUUAAAUGAAAUAAAUGAUGAAAAGGAAAAAAAAUAUUUUAUAAUAUGAAAAUGGUCCCAUGAAUUUAGUGGAAAAAUUGAUAUGAUUUGUGUGCAAGGAUUGAACAAAAAAGAUUGAAUUUUGGCAUAAAAUCACCAACUGACUAGUUUUAUGAUAACGAGUAUAACUCUCAAUCCAAUCAUUAGACCAAACUUAUAUUUUGCACGUAGUCUUCUAAUACAUGGUUCUACCUUGGGUUAAAAUUUCAAGGCAAUCGAAGUUCAGGAAGGCGCCCUCAUAAAAGUAUUGUUGGCUCCAUAAAAUUAUACAUAGAAUUUUUUGGUAAAAUGACUAAUAAAUAUCUUUUUUUUCUCCUUUAUAAAGUUCAGUCCAAGGAAGGAUAUAGGGGGUGAGUUUAGAAAGAAAACACAUUAAGGGCAAGAACUUCGAUAACCAUAUCUCUAUCAUUUAUUGUUGGAUUAAGCUAAUUUUUGGGUAUGUUGUUCUUCUCAAUGUACUCUACAUUUUGAUAGGAGGGAGUGUUGGCAUCAGAUUCCAUAUGAGAGAUAUUGCCGGUGGAAAUUUUUUAGAAAAACACCCUUUUAAGAUAGUCUUAGUCACCGAUCGUUUACUCCUACAUCCAUCACUGGAUUGAGCUAAAUUUUGGAUAAGUUGUUCAUUCAGACAUGCUCUAAAUUCUGAAUAGUGAAGUUCUAAAACAAACAAUCCAGCCAGAAAUUGAUCUUUCUAAAUAGUAGGUUUCUAAUUUUCAGGUCAAUUUAGUUUGUUUUCUGAUCUAGAGAGAUUUAGCUAUUGGAUUUAUUUGAAUUUUUGAUAUGUUAUAUUAAACAUGAUGAUGCAUAACUUCAUCGUUGGAAUGCUCAAGUAUUGAGUUUGCAAUAAGUUAUGAUGGUUUGAAUGUAUUGCUCAUAAACUCAUUAUGCACCGUUCCAACAACAUAAAUUAUUAUUCCAACUCGGUAUUAUAGUAACUUGAGAACUAUUACUCUAGAAGUGAAUUUUAUGGUUCAUUCAAAAAAUUAUGGUUUAGGGUUGUAAAGGUGUUAAAUAAAUGAAUUUAGUUAAAUUGUGAAAAAGAAUAAAAGGAAAAUUGUGCUUUCUUUAACACUUUUUUAACAAUUAAAUUGUAAUACAAUUUAACUAAAUUCAAAGAAUGCAUGGAUUUCCUUUUAUUUUUUUACAAUUUAACUAAAUUCAUUCAUUUGCUAUAGUUCCAUAAAAAUCACAUAUGAAAUAAUAGUUCCUGAGUUGCUACAAUAUAAUGAGUCAAAAUAGUAAUUAAUGAGUUAGAACAAUGCAUAAUGAGUUUAUAAGCAGACAUUCAAACCACCAUUCCUCUCUAAAAACUAAAUAUGCAAUCAAUCACAUUGAUGAAGUUAUACAUUAUUAUGUUUAACAUAACAUAUCCAAAAUUUCAAAUAAAUCUAAUGGUUAAAUCUCUUUAGUUCGGAACAAAAAUUGAACUGACCUAAAAAUUUAAAACCUAUUGUUUAGGAAUAACUAUAUUUUUUUCCAGAGUGUUUGUUUUAUAUCUUCACCGUACAGAAUUUAAAGCAUGCCUGGAUGAAUAACUUAUCCAAAAUCUAGAACUAUCCAAUGGUGUAUGGAGGAGAAAACAACCGACAACUGAGACAGGCUCAAAUGGUUUUUUCUAGAUAUUUCCAGCUAGUAAUAUCUCUUAAAUGAAGUGUGAUAUUUAAAAUCCAUCCGAUCAGAAUUCAUACGACAUUGAUAAGAACAACAUACAUGAAAAAACAGCCUAAUCUAAUGGUGAAAAGUGGGACAUAGCUACUAUAAUUCCUACUCUUAAUGUGUUUUCUCCCUAGCUUCUCUCUAAACUAUCUCCCUCUAUCAUGCCUUGUCCUGAAGCUUACGAAGGAGAAAAAGAUGAAAUUUUUUGGUCACUUUAAAAAAAAAACCCUAAUUGAAUUCAUGCAUAUUUAUGUUUGACCAAUAGUCGCGAGGCCUUUCUAAACUUUGGUUGCCUUAUAAUUUUAACCCAAGGUAGAACCAUAUAUUAGAAGACUCCAUGUAAAACUCCAGCCCGAUUCAAUGAUUGGAUUGAGAGUUAUACUCAAUACUGUAAAACUAGACAGUAGGUGAUUUUACACCAAAAUCUAAGUUUUCUUGUUAAAUCCUUACACGAAUGAUAUUGAUUAUUCCAUUAAAUCCUUGAGAUCAUUUUCUUAUUUCAAAAUAUUUUUUUUAUUUUCAUUAUUUAUUUCAUUUACAGACUUAUUAUCGUUUCACAAUAACAUUAUCAGUAUUUUACCUAGAGUUUACACCAAUACUUUUUCGUGCAUUUCUUUCUUAACUUUUAUUUCUCAUUUCCAUUAUCAUUCCUUGAAAUUAUAUUCUCAUUCUUAAAUCUUAUUUAUUUGAAAUUUUCCUUAUUCUUCUAUUUGUCGAAACUUAUUACCAAUUUCUCAAAUGUUAUGAAUUUUCAACUAAUUUUCCUGAACCUCAUUCUAACUUCAAUAAUGCAUUUUUAAAAUUAUUUAUGGAGGUCAUCCCCUUCAUUGUACAUCUUAUUUAUUACUAUUUCCAUCAUUUAUGUAUUUAUUUUCAUCCUAAAUUUCUAUUACUCAUAAGAGUUUUAUUAUCUUUGAUCUUAUAUUUACAAGGGGGAUUAUAAAGUUUUCCUCUUGGAAUGGAAAAAUAAUAAUUACACUAUUCUCAUCCACACUACCCCAAUCAAUUUCUUUUUUUGUAAUCUUAUUUUUUUAUUAUAAUAUUAUCCAAUUUUAUCUAAUACAAAAACUUGUACAAGUGCAAAUUAUAAUAUAAUAAUUUCAUGUUUGUCUGUUUAAAAACUCAUAGUUAUUAAAUCUGUCUCGGUGUCAAGCUUGGAUCACAAGUUAGGCGGAUUAAUUUAGGUUAAUGAUCUUUUCUUUUAAAUAUAAAAAUAAAAAAAAAACAAUCUUAUUUUGAUCAGAUCGACUUGGUUAAUGAUUAUAUAUAUAUAUAUAUAUAUAUUACAUUGACCUCUCUUGUAGUAUAUAUAUAUAUAUAUAUAUUACAUUGACCUCUCUUGUAGUUUAGUCAUUUUUGUUUUACUUGGUAUCCAUUUGUUUUAAUUACAAUCCACAUCUUCAACAACCAUAAUUUUUAAAUUUGAAUAAAAAAAUAUUAUAUCCUCAUAUAUAACUUUUAAAUUCUUAAAUUUUCUUAUCCAAUCAAUAUAUGACUUGUCUCCUUGUUUCAAGCUUGGUUUCAUAGCUUCCAAUCCUGCUAUGGCACAAGAUUUUUAUUCAUUUUUUUAAAUAAUAUCAACAAAAUUCCUGAUAAUUUUUUUAUUAAUUUUUAUUUUUAUUUUAUCAAAUAUAAUAUUGUGUGCUAUUUUCAUUGAAAAUUACUAAUGAAGACUUUCCAUAAUUAUUUCUAUAAAAAAUUAUGUUGGUAUUUUUAUUGUUAUUAGCUAAUUUUCUGGUAAUAAAUUAGAACAAAAACAAACAUGUUCUUCAUAUGAAUCUCAUCUUUCUACCCUUAUUGAGUCUCGUCUUUUUUUUUUUAAAAAAAAAAACUUCAAGACAUAUUUAACAAAAAUCAACCUACCUAGGCCAAUUCCCAUUGCUAAUUAACUAUACACUGCUAUCAAAGUAGAGUAUUAGUUGAAACAAAAUUAUACUCUAGAUUAUGCAUAUAUGAAGACUUGAGUUCUAUGGUUGCAAUUAAAAUCAGUUUUCCAAGAUCUUGAAAUUUUUUUCGUGAAGAAACGAAUGCAAGAAACACAUUUUUGAUACAUAAAAUGAUUAUCUGAAAGUUCAUGGUUCUAAAACACACAAUGCUUAUGAUCAGAUGACAAACAGCCAAAACAUGUUACAUGCACACAGAUUUCUUCCUUACAAGUCCUCCUAUAGAAUUGAGGAAGAUACAAUCCACCAAUAUAUAUUGAUGCCAUAAGUGUUCCCCAUAUUGAUUACUUUCUCUAGCAUGAUUUCACCAAGUAAUUCUAGAGAUCAUACCAGUUUCAUCAGAAUGAAAUAUGUUGCUCUAAAGAAAUUCAAAAGAAAGUGUAAAGUGGUAUCAAACUUGAAUGGAAAACCAACAAGGAACAAGCCUUCAUCAGAAUGAAAUAUUACCAUACAUGUGUAAACCUCUUUCUAAUUAACAUCUAUAUAUCUUACAGAUUUCAAGAAAUUGAACUCAGAUUCCAAACUGUAGUGCCAAGCGUCUUACUAUCAUUUUAUGCUAAGUUCGGUGCUUUAGUACUGUUUAGAAUUCCCAAUUAGUCUCAGGAUGAUUUGCAAAAUCCCAUAGCUCUGAAUCCAACUCUAUUUCACUUGUGGAUCCACUAAUAAACCUGUUCAGCCUCUCAGUUACUCUUGCAGCUCCAAAACCAUCAGCAGAUCCCUUCAUCUGCGCAAAAUAAAUUCAAAUUGAUCAUCCAAUUGUCAAGAAAACACGUUGAGGAUUAGAAAUGAAUCAGCAUAAUGGAUCAAAUAUAAUUAUUACCUGUGCAUGGACUAUAUGGAAAAAGGAAUCUCCAAGAGCUUGAAAAUUAGCACUGACAACUUCUACACCUUCUUCAUGAAGAAUGCUAAUAAUCUCAUAAAAUAAGAACUGAUUACCUAGCCCACUUGUCAAAACUAUCUCUCGAACUGAACCAAUUUCAUGGAUUUUUAGCUGAGGUGAUUUUGAUGCAGCACUUGAUAGAGGAUCAAAAGUGCAUGUAUAUGAUCCUUUUCUGCUUCUUGUUAAGCUUUCUUUCUUCUCCCUGGCUUUCUCCAACUUUUCCUCCAGACUCUUUAUAUAGUUUAUUGCUCGAUCUAUCUGAUCAGGCAGAGGUUGUGCUUCCUGCAUAUAUACCCACAGCAAGGGAAAAAUAUUUUCAAUAAUUUUGCCAAUUCAAGAAACAAAAAAGAACAAGAAAUAUCAUCCAAACGCAACUUGUAAAUCCCAAAUCUUUCUAAUCCAAACGCAAUAAUCUGUCUGCAAUAACAUGAGAGCAAGGACAGCUUGGCCUCUUCAUGGGAGGUUAAAGACAGCAAGCUAGAAUGAAACAAUACAAGAAGACAUGAAUUUAGAGAGAGUAAAAGAUGGAGAACCUUGAAGUUUUGAUUAGGGAGGAGAGAAUUGAGACUGGAGUAAAGGCUUUUCAUUUGAUUUCUCCUAUUUCUCUCAACGACUUUCCUCUCUGUUUUUGUAGAAGAAAUAUUAGACCUACCACUCCUACUCUGCAUUAUUGUCCCUCCAGUUUUUGCAACCAUGACUCCCCUCGGAAACCUCAUAACAGAAGGGUGAAGAUGCCAGAUUCAUUAACUUGACAAAUAUUUAUAGACACCAUCUAAACAAUAUUCUAUGAAAAUUCAUUUUUAAAAAAAAUUAAUUUUUUUAAAUUUUAUAUAUAUAUAUAUAUAUAUAUAUAUAUAUUAUUUUGACACACUAGUAUUAAAAUUAAUUUUUUUAAAAUUAUAAAAAUAUUAUUUAAAUUUAUUUUUUAAUAAAAACACUUUAAAAAAUAAUAAAUAUUUCAUCAGCUUCCAUGAAAAGAAACGAAAAGUUCAAGAUAAAAAGAAAAAAGAAAAAGUAAGAAAGCAGUGGACUGACUGAGGGCAUGAACGCAAUCGUCACGCAUUGGACAUCACUUUGUGAUGUCAUCCUCUCUCUAUUAUAAGCUGCCAAUUCGGAAUCCUAGAGUAGAUUUUUACCUGUCUCCUUUUCUUGUAAUGGAAGGGAGUUUUGAUUGAUUUGAUGAUGUGAGAGAAAAAUCAUUUAGAAUCUAGAGCUGACUCAUACCUUGGAUAUUUUGUUUUUUUCAAUCAUAACAAAAAAAUAUUGACAAAAUGUAAGAGAUUUAAAAAAAAAAUUAAAAAUUAAAAUUAUUUACUUGACUCAAUUUAAUAAAUCUAGCUAAUUUAAAUAAUAUAAAUAAAACAAAUAAAUUGAUAAUAAAUAAAUUGAUAAAAAAAAUAGACAAUAUUAAGAAAACUUUGAUGCAAGCAUGAUUAAUCUUGCUUUUAAGGUCAAUAUAAACUUUAUACUGUACUUUAAAUAUAUAUAAAAAAACUGAAUAACCCUUAUCAUAUGUUAUCGUAAACAAAUUCAAAGUCAUUUAAUAAAUUAUAUAUUUAUGAUCACGUCUUUUUUUAUUAUUAUUAAAUUUCUGCUAUUGUGGUAUAUUUAAUUUCUUUUUUUAAACUUUUCCAUGAUGAUCCCUUAAUUCUUUACAUAAUAAAUUCUGUCAUUGCAGAUAAAUUCAAGGUCAUGUAAAAAAUCUUGCUGUUACAAUCAAUUCAAUUUUUCCAUGUAUAGAUAAGUAUAGAAAUUGAUUUAACAUCUUGUCUUUUGAAAGGUAAAAAAAGAAUAAAGGAGUAAUUAAUCCAUGUAAAAAAAACGAAUUGAGAAUGUAAGUGAUAAGAGAAAGAGUUAAUGCAACUCAACACACACAUUGAGAUUACAGGGACAAAAUAUUUGUAAGGAGGAGAUAAUGUAAACCUCCAUGUAAACAUAUGAUAUAAGGUACUAAAAUCUUAAUGAGUAAUGAAAAUUUGAGUUGAAAAGAAUAAAUAAAUGAUGAAAAUAAUAAUAAAUAGGAUGUAUAAUAGAGGGGACGACUUCCAUAAAUAAUUUUAAAAAGAUAUUAUUGAAGUUAGAAUAAGAAUUAGGAAUUUUAGUUAAAAAUUCAUAAUGUUGGUGAAACCAUUAAUGAGUUUUGAUGGAUAAAAAAAUAAGAAAAAUUUAAAAUAAAUGUGUUUUAAGAAUGACAAAAUAAUUUCAAGGAAUGAUAAUGGAAAUGAGGAAUUCAAGUUUAGAAAAAAUUACAUGAAAAAGUGUCGGUGUAAAUCUCAGGUAAAAAAUCGAUAACAUUAAUAUGAAAUAAUAAUAAAUCUGUUAAAUGAAAUAAAUGAUGAAAAGGAAAAAAUAUAUAUUCUACAAUAAGAAAAUGGUCCCAUGAAUUUAGUGGAAUAAUUAAUAUGAUUCGUGCAAGGAUUGAACAAGAAAAUUUGAAUUUUAGCAUAAAAUCACCAACUAACUAGUUUUAUAAUAACGAGUAUAACUCCUAAUUCAAUCAUUAGACCAGACUUAUAUUUUGCACGUAGUCUUCUAAUACAUGGUUCUACCUUGGGUUAACAUUUCAAGACAAUUGAAAUUCAGGAAAGCCUCGCAAAAGUAUUGUUGGUUCAAUAAAAUUACAUAAAAUUAUACAUAGAUUUUUUUGGUAAAAUGACUAGAAAAUAUCUUUUUUUUCUCCUUUAUAAAGUUCAGUCCAAGGAAGGAUAUAGGGGGUGAGUUUAGAGAGAAAACACAUUGGAGGCAAGAACUUCGAUAACCAUAUCUCUAUCGUUUAUUGUUGGAUUAAGCUAAUUUGUGGGUAUUUUGUUAUUCUCAAUGUAUUCUACAUUUUGAUAGGAGGGAGUGUCAACAUCAGAUUCCAUAUGAGAGAUAUUGCUGGUGGAAAAUUUCUAGAAAAACACUCUUUUAAGAUAGUCUUAGUCAUCGACCGUUUACUCCUACGUCCAUCACUAGAUUGAGCUGAAUUUUGGAUAAGUUGUUUGUUCAGACAUGCUCUAAAUUCUGAAUAAUGAAGUUCUAAAACAAACAAUCCAACUAGAAAUUGAUCUUUCUAAAUAGUAGGUUUCUAAUUUUCAGGUCAGUUUAGUUUGUUUUUUUGAUAUAGAGAGAUUUAGCCAUUGGAUUUAUUUGAAUUUUUGAUAUGUUGUGUUAAACAUGAUGAUGCAUAACUUCAUCAUUGGAAUGCUCAAAUAUUGAGUUUGCAAUAAGUUAUGAUGGUUUGAAUGUAUUGUUCUUAAACUCAUUAUGAACCGUUCCAACAACAUAAAUUAUUAUUCCAACUCAGUAUUAUAGCAACUUGGGAACUGUUACUCUAGAAGUGAAUUUUAUGGUUCAUCUGAAAAAUUCUGGUUUAGGGUGGUAAAGGUGUUAAAUAAAUGGAUUUAGUUAAAUUGUGAAAAAGAAUAAAAGGAAAAUUGUGCUUUCUUUAACACUUUUUUUAACAAUUAAAUUGUAAAUGUGUUAAUGAAGGUGUUAAAAGAACACAUGGAUUUCCUUUCCUUUUUUUUACAAUUUAACUAAAUUCAUUCAUUUAACAUCUUCAUUAACACAUUUACCACCUUAAACCAAAAUUUUCUGGAUGAACCAUAAAAAUCACUUAUGAAAUAAUAGUUCCUGAGUUGCUACAAUACUAAGUCAAAAUAGUAAUUAAUGAGUUAGAACAAUGCAUAAUGAGUUUGUAAGCAGACAUUCAAACCACCAUUCCUCUCUAAAAACUAAAUAUGCAAUUAAUCACAUUAGUGAAGUUAUACAUUAUCAUGUUUAACAUAACAUAUCCAAAAUUUCAAAUAAAUCCAAUGGUUAAAUCUCUUUAGAUCAGAACAAAAAUUGAACUAACCUAAAAAUUUAAAACCUAUUGUUUAGGAAGAACUAUUUUUUUUCCAGAGUGUUUGUUUCAUAUCUUCACCGUACAGAAUUUAGAGCAUGCCUGAAAGAAUAACUUAUCCAAAAUCCAGAACCAUCCAAUGGUGUAUAAAGGAGAAAACAACCGACAAUUGAGACUAUCCCAAAUGGUUUUUUCUAGAUAUUUCCAGUCAGUAAUAUCUCUUAAAUGAAGUGUGAUGUUUAAAAUCCUCCCGAUCAGAAUUCAUAUGACAUUGAUAAGAACAACAUACAUAAAAAGCAUCCUAAUUCAAUGGUGAAAAGCAGGAUAUAGCUACUAUAAUUCCUACUCUCAAUGUGUUUUCUCCCUAGCUUCUCUCUAAACUAUCUCCCUUUAUCAUGCCGCCUUGUCCUGAAGCUUAUGAAGGAGAAAAAGAAGAAAUUUUUUGUUCACUUUACCAAAAAAACCUUUAUUGAAUUCAUGUAUAAUUUUCUAUAUUUAUGUUUGACCAAUAGUCGCGAGGCCUUCCUAAACUCUGGUUGCCUUAUAAUUUUAACCCAAGGUAGAAUCAUACAUUAGAAGACUCCAUAUAAAACUCCAGCCCGAUUCAAUGAUUGGAUUGAGAGUUAUGCUCAAUACUGUAAAACUAGGCAGUAUGUGAUUUUACACCAAAAUCUAAGUUUUCUUGUUAAAUCCUUACACGAAUGAUAUCGGUUAUUCCAUUAAAUUCUUGAGACCAUUUUCUUAUUCCAAAAUUUUUUUUAUCAUUUAUUUCAUUUACGGACUUAUUAUCGUUUCACAAUAAUAUUAUCGAUUGUUUUACCUAGAGUUUACAUCAAUACGUUUUCGUGCAUUUCUUUCGUAACUUUUAUUUCUCAUUUUCAUUAUUAUUCCUUGAAAUUAUAUUCUCAUUCUUAAAACAUAUUUAUUUGAAAUUUUUCUUAUUCUUCUUGAAACUUAUUACCGAUUUCUCAAAUGUUAUGAAUUUUCAACUAAUUUUCAUGAUCCUCAUUCUAACUUCAAUAAUACAUUUUUAAAAUUAUUUAUGGAGGUCAUCCCCUCCAUUGUACAUCUCAUUUAUUACUAUUUCUAUUAUUUAUAUAUUUAUUUUCAUCCUAAAUUUCUAUUACUUAUCAUAGUUUUAUUAUCUUUAAUCUUAUGUUUACAUAGGAGUUUACAAAGUUUUCUUCUUGGAAUGGAAAAAUGAUAAUUACACUAUUCUCAUCCACACUACCCCAAUUAGUUUUUUUAUUGUACUCGUGUUUCUUUAUUAUAAUAUUAUCAAAUUUUAUCUAAUACUAAAAAAUUGGAAAAGUGCAAAUUAUAUUAUAAAAAUUUCAUGUUUGUCUAUCUAAAAAAUUAUAGUUAUUAAAUUAGACUCGGUGUCAAGUUUGGAUCACAAGUUGGGUGGAUUAAUUUAGGUUAAUGAUUUUUUCUUUUAAAUGUAAAAAUAAUUUUGUUUUGAAAAAUAAUAAUUAAAAAAUCAACUUUGUUUUGACCAGAUCCAUCUAGUUGAUGGUUGAUAUAUAUAUUGCAUUGACCUCUCCUGUAGUUUAUUCAUUGUUUUUACUUGGUAUCCAUUUUUUUUAAUUACAAUCCACAUCUUCAACCAACAUAAUUUUUAAAAUUGAAUAAAAAAAAUAUUAUAUCCUCAUAUACAAGUUCUUAAAUUCCUCAUUUUUCUUAUCCAAUCAAUAUAUGACUUGUCUCCUUAUUUCAAGCUUGGUUUCAUAGCUUCCCAUCAAGCUUGGUUUCAUAGCUUCCAAUCCUGCCAUAAUUGAGGGCACAAGAUUUUUAUUAAUUUUUUAAAUAAUAUCAACAAAAUUCCCCAUAGAAUUUUUAUUAAUUUUUAUUUUUUAUUUUUAUUUUAUCAGAAAUUGCAGAUAAAAAAUAUCAUGUCGCUAUUUUCAUUAAAAUUAAUGAUGAAGACUUUCCAUAGUUAUAUCUAUAAAAAAAUAUGUUGGUAUUUUUGUUGUUAUUACCUAAUUUUCUGGUAAUAAAUUAGAACAAAAACAAACAUGUUCUUCAUGAAUUUCAUCUUUCUACCCUUAUUGAGUCUCAUCUUUUUUCUAAAAAAAUAUACUUCAAGAUAUAUUUAACAAAAAUCAACCUACCUAGGCCGAUUCCCAUUACUAAUUAACUAUAUACUGCUAUCAAAGUAGAGUAUUAGUUGAAACAAAAUUAUACUCUAGAUUAUGCAUAUAUGAAGACUUGAGUUCUAUGGUUGCAAUUAAAAUCAGUUUUCCAAGAACUUGAAAUUUUUUUCGUGAGGAAACGAAUGCAAGAAACACUUUUUUGAUACAUAAAAUGACUAUCUGAAAGUUCAUGGUUCUAAAACACACAAUGCUCAUGAUCAGAUGACAAACAGCCAAAACAUGUUACAUGCACACAGAUUUCUUCUCUUACAAGUCCUCCUAUAGAAUUGAGGAAGAUACAAUCCACCAAUAUAUGUUGAUGCCAUUUAAGUGUUUCCCAUAUUGCACUCAAACAUUACUUUCUCUAGCAUGAUUUCACCAAGUAAUUCUAGAGAUCAUAUCAGUUUCAUCAGAAUGAAAUAUGUUGCUCUAAAGAAAUUCAAAAGAAAGUGUAAAGAGGUAUCAAACUUGAAUGGAAAACCAACAAGGAACAAGCCUUCGUUGUUAUACAGGAUAUUACCAUACAUGUGUAAACCUCUUUCUAAUUAACAUCUAUAUAUCUUACAGAUUUCAAGAAAUUGAACUCAAAUUCCAAACUGUAGUGCCAAGCGUCUUACUAUCAUUUUAUGCUAAGUUUGGUGCUUUAGUACUGUUUAGAAUUCCCAAUUAGUCUCAGGAUGAUGAACUGCAAAAUCCCAUAGCUCUGAAUCCAACUCUAUUUCACUUGUGGAUCCACUAAUAAACCUGUUCAGCCUCUCAGUUACUCUUGCAGCUCCAAAACCAUCAGCAGAUCCCUUCAUCUGCGCAAAAUAAAUUCAAAUUGAUCAUCCAAUUGUCAAGAAAACACGUUGAGGAUUAGAAAUGAAUCAGCAUAAUGGAUCAAAUAUAAUUAUUACCUGUGCAUGGACUAUAUGGAAAAAGGAAUCUCCAAGAGCUUGAAAAUUAGAACUGACAACUUCUACACCUUCUUCAUGAAGAAUGCUAAUAAUCUCAUAAAAUAAGAACUGAUUAUCUAGCCCACUUGUCAAAACUAUCUCUAGAGCCGAACCAAUUUCAUGGAUUUUUAGCUGAGGUGAUUUUGAUGCAGCACUUGAUAUAGGAUCAAAAGUGCAUGUAUAUGAUCUUUUUCUGCUUCUUGCUAAGCUUUCUUUCUUUUCCCUGGCUUUCUCCAACUUUUCCUCCAGACUCUUUAUAUAGUUUAUUGCUCGAUCUAUCUGAUCAGGCAGAGGUUGUGCUUCCUGCAUAUAUACCCACAGCAAAAGCAAAAAUAUUUUCAAUAAUUUUGCCAAUUCAAGAAACAAAAAAGAACAAGAAAUAUCUUCCAAACGCAACUUGUAAAUCCCAAAUCUUUCUAAUCCAAACGCAAUAAUCUGGCUGCAAUAACAUGAGAGCAAGGACAGCUUGGCAUCUUCAUGGGAGGUUAAAGACAGCAAGCUAGAAUGAAACAAUACAAGAAGACAUGAAUUUAGAGAGAGUGAAAGAUGGAGAAC